ACAGUUUUGUAGGCUCAAAGUCCAACAUCAAGUUGUCAGCAGGGUUGAUUUCAUUCUGAGGCUUCUCCCUUGGCAUAUAUAAAGGUGACUAUUUUCUCACACACCUUCACAAGAUUUUUCUAAUAUACUCUACUUAUAAACAUGUCAGAUAUUAGGUCUCGCUCAUAGAACCUCCUUUUACCUUAAUUACUCUUUAUGCCCUUUCUCUACAUAUGGUGCUGAAGUUUAGGAAUUCCACAUGAAUUUUAAGGGGAAGAAGGAUAUGCACAAUUCAACCCAAAUAUAAUCUAACAGCAGAUAGUUGUUUUUAAAAAAACAAAUUGAAUGUGUUGGAAUACUACUCAAUAUUAAAAAUGAAUCAAGUAUUGAUACAUGCAAGUUAGAUGGGCCUCAAGAUACUGUGCUAAUUGAAAAUACUAAUUUUGAAAAGAUGCAUACUAUGUAAUUCUACUCAUAGAACAUUCUUAAAAUAGCAUAUCUGUAGAGAUGGAGAAUAACAGAUUAGUGAUUUUGUCAGAGUUUAGAGAUUUGGGGGAGACUGAUGGGGAUAUAAAGGGAUAGCGGGAAGGAGCCCUCUGGGAAUGACACAUUUGUAUUUCUUGAUUGUGGUGGUAGUUUCAGGAAGCUAUGUAUGUCAUAAUAAGCAUAGAGUUGCACCCCCUCACACACACACACAUACUACACAAACAAUCUGGAUUGUACUAAUAUCAACUUUCAGUUUUCUUGUUGUACUAUGCAAAUAGUUGACAUUGGAAGAAGCUAGACAAAAAGGAUGUACAGGAUUUUCCUAUUUAAGU
RNAcentral lists this long non-coding RNA (797 nucleotides) under Marmota monax (woodchuck). Lineage: Eukaryota; Metazoa; Chordata; Mammalia; Rodentia; Sciuridae. The record is from RNAcentral.